ACUCGGCCUUGCUGUGCGGUUGUGUAAUGCGGAGCAUAUGACUGAUCACGGCCAGGUGGCGCGGGAGGCGGCAGGAGUCCAAGCAGCCGGCACAUCGACCUAACGCCCGUCAGCUCCUGUCCUCGCACACUCUGACCCUCGGUCAGAUGGAGACGCUUCAGCUCCAGCACUGGAGUCAGGAUGUUGAGGAAAUGGCGUCGAAGCUGAAAUAUCGAGAAUUCAUAUGGAAUUUACAUGUUGCCGUCCAGCUUGAUAUCGGCGCCCUCGAACAUGAACCUCUUCAGGGUCUGCGACAGAGCCAAUAACACCGCGAGGAUCUGCUGAGCUACCACCGACAACACCUCGAUAUU
This is a long non-coding RNA of Leptidea sinapis, 350 nucleotides long. RefSeq lists it as uncharacterized. The transcript is spliced from 3 exons. Lineage: Eukaryota; Metazoa; Arthropoda; Insecta; Lepidoptera; Pieridae. The record is from RefSeq and is a predicted model, not a curated record.